This 253-nucleotide ribosomal RNA is filed under the name uncultured bacterium. RNAcentral describes it as "partial 16S ribosomal RNA". It matches the Rfam family "Bacterial small subunit ribosomal RNA", at positions 524 to 776 of the family's 1533-position model. The record is from RNAcentral.
GACAGAGGGUGCAAACGUUGUUCGGAAUUACUGGGCGUAAAGCGCAUGUAGGCGGCCAAGCAGGUCGGAUGUGAAAUCCCUCGGCUCAACCAAGGAAGUGCAUUCGAAACCGCAUGGCUCGAGUCCCGGAGAGGAAGGUGGAAUUCUCGGUGUAGAGGUGAAAUUCGUAGAUAUCGAGAGGAACACCGGUGGCGAAAGCGGCCUUCUGGACGAGGACUGACGCUGAGAUGCGAAAUCGUGGGGAGCAAACAGG